Molecule: ribosomal RNA, 484 nt
Filed under: uncultured bacterium
Lineage: Bacteria
Description: partial 16S ribosomal RNA
Rfam family: Bacterial small subunit ribosomal RNA
Source: RNAcentral
AUUGAACGCUGGCGGCAGGCCUAACACAUGCCAGUCGAGCGGAUGAAGGGAGCUUGCUCCUGGAUUCAGCGGCGGACGGGUGAGUAAUGCCUAGGAAUCUGCCUGGUAGUGGGGGAUAACGUCCGGAAACGGGCGCUAAUACCGCAUACGUCCUGAGGGAGAAAGUGGGGGAUCUUCGGACCUCACGCUAUCAGAUGAGCCUAGGUCGGAUUAGCUAGUUGGUGGGGUAAAGGCCUACCAAGGCGACGAUCCGUAACUGGUCUGCGAGGAUGAUCAGUCACACUGGAACUGAGACACGGUCCAGACUCCUACGGGAGGCAGCAGUGGGGAAUAUUGGACAAUGGGCGAAAGCCUGAUCCAGCCAUGCCGCGUGUGUGAAGAAGGUCUUCGGAUUGUAAAGCACUUUAAGUUGGGAGGAAGGGCAGUAAGUGAAUACCUUGCUGUUUUGACGGUACCAACAGAAUAAGCACCGGCUAACUUCGUG